Molecule: long non-coding RNA, 1733 nt
Organism: Syngnathoides biaculeatus (alligator pipefish)
Lineage: Eukaryota; Metazoa; Chordata; Actinopteri; Syngnathiformes; Syngnathidae
Exons: 2
Source: RefSeq, a predicted model, not a curated record
UGUUGCAAAUUAGAAUCUGUUCUCCAUUGCCUUACCAGAAUAAGUAAAGUUGUUUUUUUUUUUCCUCCAAGACAUGGCUACAUGUAUUGUUGUAUUGAAAUAUUAGUUAAUGGAAAUGGAGAGAUGGAUGCAUUAUCCGGAAAAAAAAUGCCAGUGGUUGAUCUGUGUUCCAGAAAGGAUCCCGUUUCUUGCCCUCUAGUGACAGGGAGCGCUAUCACUGUCCAUCAACGCUGGAAUGUGUUUGCUUUUCUUGGAAAAGUUAGCCAUCCAUUCAUCCAUCCAUCUUCUGUACCCAGCAUGUCAAACAUACGGCCUGCUGGCUCAAUCUGUUCUGUCAGUGGGUCAAUCCUGCCAGUAAGGACAGAGGAAAUGUGAAUUUUAUAGUAAAAGUAGCUACCAGUAUUGUUGCUAAUUUUGUCCACUGAAGAUUGUGUUAUUGACCAAUUACCACUUCAAUUACAUUCUGGAAUUUUCUGCUACUCAAGAUUGGACACCUGAUAUUGAUGCUCUUGUGAAGGGCCCCGAGAAGAUCCAACACACCCCAGAUGACUCAUGGACGGCGCGUCUGAGUUUAGAUUCUCGGCACGCCUGCAACACACAUGUCUGGAUUCAAACGCAGAAUUGGAACAGCCGCACAGCAUGGAUGCCUCGACUAUGUGUCGGCAAGGUGAUGGUUGUCAACAACGAGCUGAAUGAGUGAGCACGUGUGGCAAAGACUCUUCCCUGAUUCACGUGGACAAAAGUAUUAGAAUGGCUAGAGAGAAGGGAAGGAAUGAGUCUUCACAGAAAUGUAGCAAUUUCCUGCAGGCGUUGCCAUCAAGAACAUUCGUAAGUCACAGAUAUCCUCACAAAACAAGUGACUGUUUAGUCAUAUAUUUUACGGAUGCCAUUUGUGUUAGACUGAAUUUCAAAAUUCCCCCCUUUUUUGUUCUUCUGUUAACAUGCAUUUUAUUCUCAUUCAUGUGGGAUGGACUUCAUACACUGGUAUAUCUAUAAAUGUAAUGUGCAAAAUUUAAGAUAUGGAAAUGCUAAAUGAUUAGAAAUUGCAAAUAGAUUUAGUGUGUUACUGAUUACCAUUUUUGGUCAAACAAAACAAAACGCCAGCAUAUUGUGCUCACUCAUAAAUCAUAUUAUAUGUAUAUUACACAUGUAACAGUGUCUUAAAAAUAACUUACAGAUGCUGCUCUGUCCUUUUUGGCGUCUUUGUUUUUUUUCUGUCCUAGGCAGAUUUUUAUUUUAAUUUUUUUUGUAUUGUAUGCCUAUCUAUGCCUCCCCAGCCAUCCAUUUCUAGACCGGUUAUCGCAGGCGGCUGGAGCCUAUUCCAGAUAUCUUCGGGCGAGAGGCGGUGUACACCCUGAACUGGUUGCCAGCAAAUUGGACAUAUCUCUCUCACACAUACACACGCACGCACGCACGCACGCACGCACGCACGUACACGAACAAAUUGAAUGAAUUCCUUGACUGCCAGUUUUAGUUUCACAGAUGAAGUCCAACACAGGAACCAGCUAACCCUGACAGAUGUUUUCAAAACAGAGUUCCCCAGAUAUUUUAUUUACAUUUCAAGCCAUCCACCAAAGCCCACAAAAUGACAACAUAAGCACCCAACCUACCAUAAAAGUACUUUCUUUUUUCACCAGGUUAAAAAAAAAAAAAAAAAUUACAUUUAGUAGUAAUAACAUGGGUUGCUUCAGCAAAAACUGUUUCCUGAGCAAAACGUCAACAAAGAAAAACUG